UUAAAACUAAACUAAUGGCGUACGAGAGAGUAGGAUGUGGACGCGUGUACAAGAUUAUUACCCGCCUCUGUAAUCAAACUUCUACAAACUCUUCUUGUCAUUCCUUCGUUUAUCAAAUGUACUGUUGAUUUCAGGUUCUCUUGUUGUUGCCGACGGUAUGGCCAAUGGCUGGUACGGCUAUGUAUGAGUUAGUGCUUAGUACUUAGUAAAAUAACUUAAUUGGUGAAAUUAUUAGGCUGGAAGGCCACGAUCCAAGGUUUGCUCUCAUCUGCUUAUUUUGGUAUAACUUGUUUAAAGUCAAUCAUCUCAUUUUGAUACAUUUCAGAUGGUUGUCUGUUAGGCAUAGGAUCUCUGGACUUGCAUCUUGCUACUAUCAGUAGAGCUUGGACCAGGAAUAUUGGGAAAUAUCUUUUAUGGAAGUUGGCUUCAGUUGGAAACUUAAAAAAUUUAGAUUGGAAAUAACAUUAUCAGUUAAGAGAUUCGAGCUUCUCACUGUUGCUGGAUAUCAAUCUGGUAACUUUUACAAAGGCCUUUGAACUUGAAGACUAUUGCAAAACCAUAUGGUCAUGUAUACAUCUCUGGCGGGUUCGUCUGUUCCAGCUCUUGACAAAGAGUGUCCUUCUGAGUUCCAGCCAAAUAAAUUUGGUAUUGUGUUUUGCCGCACAACGUUACUUUGUUGAGGUCUUCCUUCACUUCCUUCACUUGGAUGCUAAACUUGAGUCCAUUAAUCCAGGUUUUGAGCCAAAAAGAAAAAUUAUGUGGCUCUUGUGUAGAUUCUGUAAUAUAUUGGUCACUCUUUCUCUCUUCAUGAUUUCAUUUGUUUGUUGGUACAGACGAAAUGAAUGUAGGAUUUUGUACUCAAACUCAAUACGAAGAAAUUUUGCAAGAAAAUGUGUUCUUUUGGCAUUAGAGAGUAGAGAGGUGGGUGGGGAUUACAUAAUUGAAAUGUUGUAGGAA
Non-coding RNA from Camelina sativa (false flax), 957 nucleotides. The record is from RefSeq and is a predicted model, not a curated record. NCBI's taxonomy places the organism in Eukaryota, Viridiplantae, Streptophyta, Magnoliopsida, Brassicales, Brassicaceae.